RNAcentral lists this ribosomal RNA (381 nucleotides) under Rhizobiaceae bacterium. Its description in RNAcentral is "bacterial SSU rRNA". It matches the Rfam family "Bacterial small subunit ribosomal RNA", at positions 94 to 510 of the family's 1533-position model. The record is from RNAcentral. Lineage: Bacteria; Pseudomonadati; Pseudomonadota; Alphaproteobacteria; Hyphomicrobiales; Rhizobiaceae.
AGUGGCAGACGGGUGAGUAACGCGUGGGAAUCUACCGUGCCCUGCGGAAUAGCUCCGGGAAACUGGAAUUAAUACCGCAUACGCCCUACGGGGGAAAGAUUUAUCGGGGUAUGAUGAGCCCGCGUUGGAUUAGCUAGUUGGUGGGGUAAAGGCCUACCAAGGCGACGAUCCAUAGCUGGUCUGAGAGGAUGAUCAGCCACAUUGGGACUGAGACACGGCCCAAACUCCUACGGGAGGCAGCAGUGGGGAAUAUUGGACAAUGGGCGCAAGCCUGAUCCAGCCAUGCCGCGUGAGUGAUGAAGGCCUUAGGGUUGUAAAGCUCUUUCACCGGAGAAGAUAAUGACGGUAUCCGGAGAAGAAGCCCCGGCUAACUUCGUGCCA